GAUGAACGCUGGCGGCGUGCCUAAUACAUGCAAGUCGAGCGAACAGAUGAGGAGCUUGCUCCUCUGACGUUAGCGGCGGACGGGUGAGUAACACGUGGAUAACCUACCUAUAAGACUGGGAUAACUUCGGGAAACCGGAGCUAAUACCGGAUAAUAUAUUGAACCGCAUGGUUCAAUAGUGAAAGACGGUUUUGCUGUCACUUAUAGAUGGAUCCGCGCCGCAUUAGCUAGUUGGUAAGGUAACGGCUUACCAAGGCAACGAUGCGCAGCCGACCUGAGAGGGUGAUCGGCCACACUGGAACUGAGACACGGUCCAGACUCCUACGGGAGGCAGCAGCAGGGAAUCUUCCGCAAUGGGCGAAAGCCUGACGGAGCAACGCCGCGUGAGUGAUGAAGGUCUUCGGAUCGUAAAACUCUGUUAUUAGGGAAGAACAAAUGUGUAAGUAACUAUGCACGUCUUGACGGUACCUAAUCAGAAAGCCACGGCUAACUACGUG
RNAcentral lists this ribosomal RNA (497 nucleotides) under uncultured bacterium. RNAcentral describes it as "partial 16S ribosomal RNA". It matches the Rfam family "Bacterial small subunit ribosomal RNA", at positions 28 to 507 of the family's 1533-position model. The record is from RNAcentral.